RNAcentral lists this ribosomal RNA (253 nucleotides) under uncultured bacterium. Its description in RNAcentral is "partial 16S ribosomal RNA". It matches the Rfam family "Bacterial small subunit ribosomal RNA", at positions 524 to 776 of the family's 1533-position model. The record is from RNAcentral.
UACAGAGGUCUCAAGCGUUGUUCGGAUUCAUUGGGCGUAAAGGGUGCGUAGGCGGCGCGGUAAGUCGGAUGUGAAAUCUCGGAGCUUAACUCCGAAACUGCAUUCGAUACUGCCGUGCUUGAGGACUGGAGAGGAGACUGGAAUUUACGGUGUAGCGGUGAAAUGCGUAGAGAUCGGGGGGAACACCCGUGGCGAAGGCGGCCGGCUGGGCCGUUCCUGACGCUGAGGCGCGAAGGCGUGGGGAGCGAACGGG